CGCGUAGGCGGUUCGUUAAGUCCUGUGUGAAAUCCCCCGGCUCAACUGGGGAACUGCACAGGAAACUGGCGGGCUUGAGUCCGGGAGAGGGAAGCGGAAUUCCGGGUGUAGCGGUGAAAUGCGUAGAUAUCCGGAGGAACACCGGUGGCGAAGGCGGCUUCCUGGACCGACACUGACGCUGAGGCGCGAAAGCUAGGGGAGCAAACG
This 207-nucleotide ribosomal RNA is filed under the name uncultured bacterium. RNAcentral's name for it is "partial 16S ribosomal RNA". It matches the Rfam family "Bacterial small subunit ribosomal RNA", at positions 568 to 774 of the family's 1533-position model. The record is from RNAcentral.